Leopardus geoffroyi (Geoffroy's cat) is the source of this 202-nucleotide long non-coding RNA. RefSeq lists it as uncharacterized. The transcript has 3 exons. The record is from RefSeq and is a predicted model, not a curated record. Lineage: Eukaryota; Metazoa; Chordata; Mammalia; Carnivora; Felidae.
GUACCUAGCUAAGAAUACACACAGGGGUGAUCAGAGUGGAGACAGGGGUACAUCCCGUUGUGUGGCAUCAGGGAUGGCUCUGGGAGGCAUUAUGGUUACAAAAUCCAGGCAGGAAUGGGGUUGGGACUCCUGGUCUCAUGUGCACUUAGUUCCUCGUUCAGCAGCGCUCUACCGAGUGGAAGAAUCAAGUUACUGCAGAAUC